UUUUUAAAACAUGUUCUUUUGUUUAUAUAAAAGAUUUGACCUGCCCAAUGAUUAAUUAUUUAAUGGCUGCAGUAUUUUGACUGUACAAAGGUAGCAUAAUCAUUUGUCUUUUAAUUGAAGUCUAGGAUGAAUGGUUUGAUGAAAAAUAUGUUUUCUUUAUUUUAAAUGGGAAAUUUAAUUUUUUAGUUAAAAAGCUGAAAUUUUAUUAUAGGACGAGAAGACCCUAUAGAACUUUAUUUUUAAAUUUAUAAAUUUAAUAUAGAAUAUUUUAAAGUGUAUAAUGAUUAAAUUUUGUUGGGGUGACAGAAAAAAUAUAAUAACUUUUUCUAUAUUUUUCAUUAUUAUUGAGUUUUUGAUCCUUUUUUAGGGAUAUAAGAUUAAGUUACCUUAGGGAUAACAGCGUUAUUAUUUUAGAGAGUUCUUAUCGAUAAAGUAGUUUGCGACCUCGAUGUUGGAUUAUAAUAAGAUGUGGGGAGUAGAAUAUUAUUUUCUAGGUCUGUUCGACCUUUAAAUUUUUACAUGAUCU
RNAcentral lists this ribosomal RNA (526 nucleotides) under Naranjakotta sp. G STC-2019. RNAcentral describes it as "partial large subunit ribosomal RNA". It matches the Rfam family "Bacterial large subunit ribosomal RNA", at positions 1805 to 2606 of the family's 2925-position model. Lineage: Eukaryota; Metazoa; Arthropoda; Insecta; Hemiptera; Miridae. The record is from RNAcentral.